Molecule: transfer RNA, 75 nt
Filed under: Marmota monax (woodchuck)
Lineage: Eukaryota; Metazoa; Chordata; Mammalia; Rodentia; Sciuridae
Description: tRNA.Asp
Source: RNAcentral
UAUGGUUGUAGCUCAGUGGUAGGGCACUUGCCUAUCAUGUGGGAGGAAUUGGGAUCGAGCCUCAGCACUUCAUAA